GACGAACGCUGGCGGCGUGCUUAACACAUGCAAGUCGAACGAUGAAACCUAGCUUGCUAGGUCGAUUAGUGGCGAACGGGUGAGUAACACGUGACUAACCUGCCCCUUUCUCUGGGAUAACGCUCCGAAAGGAGUGCUAAUACCGGAUACUCACACCGAGGCACAUGCCUUGGUGUGGAAAGUUUUUCGGAAAGGGAUGGAGUCGCGGCCUAUCAGCUUGUUGGUGAGGUAACAGCUCACCAAGGCGACGACGGGUAGCCGGCCUGAGAGGGAGACCGGCCACACUGGGACUGAGACACGGCCCAGACUCCUACGGGAGGCAGCAGUGGGGAAUAUUGCACGAUGGGCGCAAGCCUGAUGCAGCGACGCCGCGUGAGGGAUGAAGGUCUUCGGAUUGUAAACCUCUUUCAGUAGGGACGAAGCGAAAGUGACGGUACCUAAAGAAGAAGCACCGGCUAACUACGUGCCAGCCGCCGCGGUAA
Molecule: ribosomal RNA, 482 nt
Filed under: uncultured bacterium
Lineage: Bacteria
Description: partial 16S ribosomal RNA
Rfam family: Bacterial small subunit ribosomal RNA
Source: RNAcentral